RNAcentral lists this ribosomal RNA (510 nucleotides) under uncultured bacterium. Its description in RNAcentral is "partial 16S ribosomal RNA". It matches the Rfam family "Bacterial small subunit ribosomal RNA", at positions 28 to 507 of the family's 1533-position model. The record is from RNAcentral.
GACGAACGCUGGCGGCGUGCUUAACACAUGCAAGUCGAACGAAGAGCGAUGGAAGCUUGCUUCUAUCAAUCUUAGCGGCGAACGGGUGAGUAACGCGUAAUCAACCUGCCCUUCAGAGGGGGACAACAGUUGGAAACGACUGCUAAUACCGCAUACGAUCUAAUCUCGGCAUCGAGGAUAGAUGAAAGGUGGCCUCUACAUGUAAGCUAUCACUGAAGGAGGGGAUUGCGUCUGAUUAGCUAGUUGGUGGGGUAACGGCCCACCAAGGCGAUGAUCAGUAGCCGGUCUGAGAAGAUGAACGGCCACAUUGGGACUGAGACACGGCCCAGACUCCUACGGGAGGCAGCAGUGGGGAAUCUUCCGCAAUGGACGAAAGUCUGACGGAGCAACGCCGCGUGAGUGAUGACGGCCUUCGGGUUGUAAAGCUCUGUUAAUCGGGACGAAAGGCCUUCUUGCGAAUAGUGAGAAGGAUUGACGGUACCGGAAUAGAAAGCCACGGCUAACUACGUG